Larimichthys crocea (large yellow croaker) is the source of this 54-nucleotide non-coding RNA. Lineage: Eukaryota; Metazoa; Chordata; Actinopteri; Sciaenidae. The record is from Rfam.
UGUUCCCUUUUCUGUAAGUCGCUUUGGAUAAAAGCAUCAGCUAAAUGACUAAAU